GAGAUAAAUAUCGUUAAUAAUGCAGAAAUCAAAUAUCGUUAGCUAGGUCAGCUUGUAUGGGGAUGGGACGAUAUGAAACAAUUUAACCGUCCAGUCCACCACGUUUUGGCAAUGUUCCAACACUCUCGUCAUCACUGUUGCAUGCAUCACAAAAACUAUUACACUACUAACGCUUACAUAACAGUGUGAAAUAUCCACAUUAUGUAAUACCACUAACAUGUUUAAAGACACUCAAUUUAAAAAAUAAUGCAUAUUCCCGAAAUAUUUUGAGCAGUAAUACUUACAUAGCAAUGAUGAAAUCUUAUCUGUGUUUAGUAGAUAGAGACAGAGACAAUAUAUCAAUGAUAUAUUUCUAUCAAUUAGUUUAUUCUUAAGGAACAUGACUUCCUAGCUGAAAAAUGUAUUUUUAAUUAAAUAUUAAUUUAAUCAUGUGUGAAUACAAAUGUUGAAAUGUUUUAUUUGUUUACUUCCAGCUUCAUGUUACUGUUUGCCUGGAAGGUGAUUUGCCUGGACCUAUUUGUGUAGGCCCAGACAAAUACCAAUGCCAAUUUUGCCGCAAGGUGGGAGAGUACCCUGCACUGGUGGCACAUAUGCAGAACCAUGAGAAAUCUGCUGUUAAGCAUGAAGGUGUGGUGAACUGGAAAGCAUUUUCAGAAGAGCACAAAAGGGAAUUCAGGAGGACCUAUCGAAUUUCCAGUUGCCUUCAAUGCAGCAGACUAUAUAAAGACUGUGAUGCAGGCUACCGGGGAAGUGGACGACAAGGAAUCCUGCAGGGUUUUUACUCUGAGGAUGACUUCCCCGGGUACUGCAGCUGGGACUGUUUUUUCAAGGCUGGGGGCACAACAGUCUGAGUGCAUGACCCCCCUCUCUUCAUUACCGCCCUGUGUUGUCAUUUGUUAUGUGGCUGUGUUUGAUUGUUUUUAUGUUCAUCUUUCACCAUUUAUGAUUAAAUUACAUACUGAUCACUGAA
This is a long non-coding RNA of Anguilla rostrata (American eel), 970 nucleotides long. RefSeq lists it as uncharacterized. The transcript is spliced from 2 exons. The record is from RefSeq and is a predicted model, not a curated record. Lineage: Eukaryota; Metazoa; Chordata; Actinopteri; Anguilliformes; Anguillidae.